Pistacia vera is the source of this 167-nucleotide small nuclear RNA. RefSeq annotates it as U1 spliceosomal RNA. The transcript has a single exon. The record is from RefSeq and is a predicted model, not a curated record. Lineage: Eukaryota; Viridiplantae; Streptophyta; Magnoliopsida; Sapindales; Anacardiaceae.
AUACUUACCUGGGCGGGGUUUACGAGUUAUCAGAAAGGCUCGUAGCCUAGGCAGGCGGCCCACAUUGCACGUCGUGGGUGCGCCGGCCUAACAUCUCCCCGAGUGGGAGAGUGUACGUCAUAAUUUGUGUCAGGGGANUGAACUACUAAAAUUCAGUACUUAAUCCA